AUACGGAGGAUCCGAGCGUUAUCCGGAUUUAUUGGGUUUAAAGGGUGCGCAGGCGGCCAUUUAAGUCAGCGGUUAAAUCGUGGGGCUCAACCCCAUUCUGCCGUUGAUACUGGGUGGCUUGAUUGCGGUCGAGGUUGGCGGAAUUCGUUGUGUAGCGGUGAAAUGCAUAGAUAUGACGAAGAACACCGAUUGCGUAGGCAGCUGACCAGACCGCAAAUGACGCUCAUGCACGAAAGUGCGGGGAUCGAACAGGAUUAGAUACCCUGGUAGUCCGCACAGUAAACGAUGAAUACUUGUUUUCGGCGAUAUAAUGUCGGAGGCAAAGCGAAAGCGAUAAGUAUUCCACCUGGGGAGUACGCCGGCAACGGUGAAACUCAAAGGAAUUGGCGUGG
RNAcentral lists this ribosomal RNA (392 nucleotides) under uncultured bacterium. Its description in RNAcentral is "partial 16S ribosomal RNA". It matches the Rfam family "Bacterial small subunit ribosomal RNA", at positions 523 to 918 of the family's 1533-position model. The record is from RNAcentral.